RNAcentral lists this ribosomal RNA (492 nucleotides) under uncultured bacterium. RNAcentral describes it as "partial 16S ribosomal RNA". It matches the Rfam family "Bacterial small subunit ribosomal RNA", at positions 29 to 507 of the family's 1533-position model. The record is from RNAcentral.
AGUGAACGCUGGCGGUAGGCCUAACACAUGCAAGUCGAACGGCAGCACAGUAAGCGCUUGCUCUUACGGGUGGCGAGUGGCGGACGGGUGAGGAAUACAUCGGAAUCUACUUUUUCGUGGGGGAUAACGUAGGGAAACUUACGCUACUACCUCAUACGACCUACGGGUGAAAGCAGGGGAUCUUCGGACCUUGCGCGAUUGAAUUAGCCGAUGUCGGAUUAGCUAGUUGGCGGGGUAAAGGCCCACCAAGGCGACGAUCCGUAGCUGGUCUGAGAGGAUGAUCAGCCACACUGGAACUGAGACACGGUCCAGACUCCUACGGGAGGCAGCAGUGGGGAAUAUUGGACAAUGGGCGCAAGCCUGAUCCAGCCAUACCGCGUGGGUGAAGAAGGCCUUCGGGUUGUAAAGCCCUUUUGUUGGGAAAGAAAAGCAGCAGGUUAAUACCCCGCUGUUCUGACGGUACCCAAAGAAUAAGCACCGGCUAACUUCGUG